RNAcentral lists this ribosomal RNA (899 nucleotides) under Didymella sp. RNAcentral describes it as "partial large subunit ribosomal RNA". It matches the Rfam family "Eukaryotic large subunit ribosomal RNA", at positions 45 to 962 of the family's 3401-position model. The record is from RNAcentral. Lineage: Eukaryota; Fungi; Ascomycota; Dothideomycetes; Pleosporales; Didymellaceae.
AAUAAGCGGAGGAAAAGAAACCAACAGGGAUUGCCCUAGUAACGGCGAGUGAAGCGGCAACAGCUCAAAUUUGAAAUCUGGCGUCUUUGGCGUCCGAGUUGUAAUUUGCAGAGGGCGCUUUGGCAUUGGCAGCGGUCCAAGUUCCUUGGAACAGGACGUCACAGAGGGUGAGAAUCCCGUACGUGGUCGCUAGCCUUUACCGUGUAAAGCCCCUUCGACGAGUCGAGUUGUUUGGGAAUGCAGCUCUAAAUGGGAGGUAAAUUUCUUCUAAAGCUAAAUACUGGCCAGAGACCGAUAGCGCACAAGUAGAGUGAUCGAAAGAUGAAAAGCACUUUGGAAAGAGAGUUAAAAAGCACGUGAAAUUGUUGAAAGGGAAGCGCUUGCAGCCAGACUUGCCUGUAGUUGCUCAUCCAGGUUUCUACCUGGUGCACUCUUCUAUAGGCAGGCCAGCAUCAGUUUGGGCGGUUGGAUAAAGGUCUCUGUCAUGUACCUCUCUUCGGGGAGAACUUAUAGGGGAGACGACAUGCAACCAGCCUGGACUGAGGUCCGCGCAUCUGCUAGGAUGCUGGCGUAAUGGCUGUAAGCGGCCCGUCUUGAAACACGGACCAAGGAGUCUAACAUCUAUGCGAGUGUUUGGGUGUCAAGCCCGAGCGCGUAAUGAAAGUGAACGGAGGUGGGAACCUUUCGGGGUGCACCAUCGACCGAUCCUGAUGUCUUCGGAUGGAUUUGAGUAAGAGCAUAGCUGUUGGGACCCGAAAGAUGGUGAACUAUGCUUGAAUAGGGUGAAGCCAGAGGAAACUCUGGUGGAGGCUCGCAGCGGUUCUGACGUGCAAAUCGAUCGUCAAAUUUGGGCAUAGGGGCGAAAGACUAAUCGAACUAUCUAGUAGCUGGUUCCUGCG